UUAAGUUCAGCGGGUAGUCCUACCUGAUUUGAGAUCGAACAUUAAAAAGCUGUCCUCACCGAGGAGAGACGUCUAUGAGCCCCAGCGAACCUCCACUGCUGAAGGUUACCUGGUGGACAAUCGCAAGCGUAGAUAGUUAUCACACCUGCGACGCCACCAAACACUGGCAAGCUGAUUCAUUUGAGAGGAGCCGACCAUAG
RNAcentral lists this unclassified non-coding RNA (200 nucleotides) under Thelephoraceae sp. RNAcentral describes it as "partial internal transcribed spacer 2". The record is from RNAcentral. Lineage: Eukaryota; Fungi; Basidiomycota; Agaricomycetes; Thelephorales; Thelephoraceae.